RNAcentral lists this ribosomal RNA (434 nucleotides) under uncultured bacterium. RNAcentral's name for it is "partial 16S ribosomal RNA". It matches the Rfam family "Bacterial small subunit ribosomal RNA", at positions 29 to 507 of the family's 1533-position model. The record is from RNAcentral.
AGCGAACGCUGGCGGCAGGCCUAACACAUGCCAGUCGAACGAACCUUUCGGGGUUAGUGGCGGACGGGUGAGUAACACGUGGGAACGUGCCUUUAGGUUCGGAAUAACUCAGGGAAACUUGUGCUAAUACCGAAUGUGCCCUUCGGGGGAAAGAUUAAUCGCCUUUAGAGCGGCCCGCGUCUGAUUAGCUAGUUGGUUGAGUUAAUGGCUCACCAAGGGGACGCUAAGUACCUGGUCUGAGAGGAUGAUCAGCCACAUUGGGACUGAGACACGGCCCAAAAUCCUACGGGAGGCAGCAGUGGGGAAUCUUGCGCAAUGGGCGAAAGCCUGACGCAGCCAUGCCGCGUGAAUGAUGAAGGUCUUAGGAUUGUAAAACUCUUUCACCGGGGACGAUAAUGACGGUACCCGGAGAAGAAGCCCCGGCUAACUUCGUG